RNAcentral lists this transfer RNA (74 nucleotides) under Salmo salar (Atlantic salmon). It matches the Rfam family "tRNA". From Rfam's summary of the family: Transfer RNA (tRNA) molecules are approximately 80 nucleotides in length. Their secondary structure includes four short double-helical elements and three loops (D, anti-codon, and T loops). The record is from Rfam by way of RNAcentral. Lineage: Eukaryota; Metazoa; Chordata; Actinopteri; Salmoniformes; Salmonidae.
UCCUAUGUGGCUCAGUCGGUAGAGCAUGGUACUUACCGUGCCAAAGGUUGUGGGUUUGAUUCCCGCUGGGGCAA